GAUGAACGCUGGCGGCGCGCCUAACACAUGCAAGUCGAACGGCACCCCACCUCGGUGGGAAGCGAGUGGCGAACGGCUGAGUAACACGUGGAGAACCCGCCCCCUCCUCCGGGAUAGCCUCGGGAAACCGUGGGUAAUACCGGAUGACGCCCGGACGACGCAUGUCGCCCGGGCCAAAGCCCAGACGGGAGGGGAUGGCUCCGCGGCCCAUCAGGUAGACGGCGGGGUGAAGGCCCACCGUGCCGACGACGGGUAGCCGGGUUGAGAGACCGACCGGCCAGAUUGGGAYUGAGACACGGCCCAGACUCCUACGGGAGGCAGCAGUGGGGAAUCUUGCGCAAUGGGGGGAACCCUGACGCAGYGACGCCGCGUGCGGGACGAAGGCCCUCGGGUCG
This 395-nucleotide ribosomal RNA is filed under the name uncultured bacterium. RNAcentral describes it as "bacterial SSU rRNA". It matches the Rfam family "Bacterial small subunit ribosomal RNA", at positions 28 to 425 of the family's 1533-position model. The record is from RNAcentral.